This is an RNA transcript of Ipomoea nil (Japanese morning glory), 2283 nucleotides long. RefSeq lists it as uncharacterized. Lineage: Eukaryota; Viridiplantae; Streptophyta; Magnoliopsida; Solanales; Convolvulaceae. The transcript is spliced from 6 exons. The record is from RefSeq and is a predicted model, not a curated record.
GGAAGCUAUUUUUUCAUAAACAGGAAAAAUAACAAAAUACAUGAAAUAGUCGAAAACAAAAUACAAAUUAUACAGAAACCGAAGCUUCUCUCUUCUCAAUUGCUCCUUCCCGAUCGAAAAUUGCAUCUGAAGGUUUGUUUCUGCACAUUGGAAUUGACAAUCGGUAUUGCGUGAUGAUGCGAUACAAGAAAGGGAAUUUGGUGGAAGUCUUGAAUGAAAACGAGUUACCCUCUGGUUCUUGGCGUUGUGCGGAGAUUGUCAGGGGCAACGAAGAGAAUUAUAUUGUCAGGUACAGUACGAGUGAUAUAUCAGAAGCGGUUGUGGAAAGGGUGUCUAGGAAGUUAAUUAGGCCUUGCCCCCCUCUAGUUGAAUUUUCAGAGAACUGGAUGCCUGGGGAUGUGGUUGAGGUGUUUCUCAGCUUCACUUGGAAAAUGGCAACAGUGUCUAAGGUGAUAGGGAAGGACCACGUUUUAGUCCGGUUGGUUGGAUCCGCAAAUGGAUUCAAAGUUAAGAAAUGUAACAUUCGCGUGAGACAGUCAUGGAAGGAUGGUCAGUGGGCCAUAGUUGGAAAGGGUCUGGCUCAGAAGUACAAUAGGAUUUCAGGCUUCCAAUCCAUGGGAAUAACGCCAAGAAUAGGUUUCCAUGGAAAACAAGACCAUGCACUUAAUAAUGAUGUGAAAUUUCAUGAAUCUUAUAUUGGUAAGUCGAGAACUUUAAAGAGAGGACUACCAUAUUGUGAUUCUCAGACAGAAGCUAAUAAUGGGAUUGCCCAGAAAUAUAGAGUGAUUGAGAAGGAGGGUGGACGGUGUCGAGGGAUUGCUGCACAUUAUUCUCCAUUACAUGGAAAGGUAGGCAACAGCCCUUUAACUGGAAAAGUGCUGGUUGCAAAGGAAAGACAUUUUAUUGAAAACCAUAGAAGAAGUAGUCUUUAUGAAUUGGAAGUGGAGAGGACAAAAGCAAUUGAGGUGGUGUCACAUGCAAUGCCAAUGGAAUCUAAUGAUGCUGACAGUAUCUCUAGCUCUGUUGGUAGUUGUAGCAUUGCUAGCAACAAUAUGUCUACAUCACAUUGCAAGUUGUUAGUAGGUUUUGCAGACGACAUUCAAGAACACUCAAGUGAUGCUGAAUCGGUGCAAGAGUCAUGCAAUCGCCGAGGAAACUGUUUCCCUACCUCCAGAGAGUUGGCCACAGAAAUCCAUAGGUUAGAGUUGUAUGCAUAUCGUGCUACUAUGGAGGCGCUGUAUGCUUCAGGACCUUUAAGUUGGGAACAGGAAACAUUGAUUACAAAUCUUCGCAUUUAUCUCAAUAUAUCAAAUGAUGAGCAUUUGUUGGAGUUAAGGAAUUUAAUAUCUAAUGCAUCAAGCUUUUCCAUUAGCUGACAGAGAACUGGCAUUUAUGAAUUUGUCUUUUAUGAUCCUUCUGCCCAGAGUUUAUGGCCUGCAAUUCUGCUACCAAAUUCCUGGGUGAUGCUGGGAUUUGCCUCUUUUCUCUUCAUGUAGAUGAUCUGGCAAUGUCAGCAUCAGAUCCAGUAGGAAGGAAAUAGCAGUAGCUAUCCAUGUUACUGACAGUGUAACAUGAUUGCUGAAUUGAUUCUGUGGCUCUAUGAAAGUAUGAAGCAGAAAUACCUUGCUGAAAUAUUGGGGAUUGGUUUCAUCACUGUUCCAUGGCUGGAUUGGUAUGAUGAGAUUGCACUGCACUGCACUUGCUUUAGCAAGGAUGGACUUGGUAUACACCUUCUUGGCUCGCACAUCACAAUUUUGGCAUAUGGUUUCUGAUUUUUUUUCUGAUUAUACAUUCCAGGUCGAUGAAUGAUUGCAUUGCACUAGCCUUAGCAAGCAUAGACUUGAUUCUUCGAGGCCAUGCCUAUCUUGAGAGGUUGAUGAAUGAUUGCAUUUAGCAAGCAUAGACUUGUAAAUCUAGUCUAGCAAUUUGGUUCUUCGAGGCCAUGCCUAUCUCAAGAGGUUGGGUCGUUGAUAAGCAAGCAUUGACUUGUAAGACCGUCAUCUAUCGUAAGAUGGCCAUGGCAAAUGCAACUAGAAAAUGUCAUGUCCUUUUUGCUUUUACCAGUGUAAAGAGGAUUUUGGACAGGCUAAAUGGAGAAUUCAACAUAUGAGUUGUACAUGAUUUUGGUUCUAUCAAAUUCUAAGCAAAUCAUCUUUGUAUGAUUGGCACAACCAUGUGAUUAUGCCUCCUAUCUCAUGGAAUGAUCAAGUGUAUAUAAGUAAAUCUAGGCUUGGCUUGUGAUGAUUUCAUGAUCUAAGUCAUGCCUGAUUAUUAUUGAUUAAA